RNAcentral lists this ribosomal RNA (430 nucleotides) under Pseudomonadota bacterium. Its description in RNAcentral is "Proteobacteria bacterium partial 16S ribosomal RNA". It matches the Rfam family "Bacterial small subunit ribosomal RNA", at positions 355 to 776 of the family's 1533-position model. The record is from RNAcentral. Lineage: Bacteria; Pseudomonadati; Pseudomonadota.
UGGGGAAUAUUGGACAAUGGGGGGAACCCUGAUCCAGCCAUGCCGCGUGUGUGAAGAAGGCCUUAUGGUUGUAAAGCACUUUAAGCGAGGAGGAGGGUACUGGUAUUAAUACUACCAGGUACUGGACGUUACUCGCAGAAUAAGCACCGGCUAACUCUGUGCCAGCAGCCGCGGUAAUACAGAGGGUGCGAGCGUUAAUCGGAUUUACUGGGCGUAAAGCGUGCGUAGGCGGCUAAUUGAGUCGGAUGUGAAAUCCCCGAGCUUAACUUGGGAAUUGCAUUCGAUACUGGUUAGCUAGAGUGUGGGAGAGGAUGGUAGAAUUCCAGGUGUAGCGGUGAAAUGCGUAGAGAUCUGGAGGAAUACCGAUGGCGAAGGCAGCCAUCUGGCAUAACACUGACGCUGAGGUACGAAAGCAUGGGGAGCAAACAGG